UCUUCUUCUAAAACACACUCACCGUCACAAAACAAAACAAAAAGAUGUUCAUAUUCAUCCUCCGUCGCACCGCCACUCGCCGCCGCUACACCACCACCACAACCACCGCAACCUCAAACCUCUACACAAAAUACUCUUUCACCCCUCCACCACACAAAACACUAGCAUCAACACCAAAAAGAAAAAACCCCUUUACAGACCACCUUCAUCUUUGGACCGGGCCGGUUCAAAACCCGUAAAAACCGACUUACCCUUUGAUUUCCGGUUCAGUCACACAGAAAGUAGUCCUGAGGUGAGACCCAUUGGUCUCAGAGAGCCAAAGUACUCGCCUUUUGGACUGGAACGUGUUGAUCACGUGUGGACGGGUGUAUGUGCCCCUGCUGUGGACCCCAUGGCUGGGAAAGAACAAGUUGAGAAGUUGGAAGUUGAGAGGAAAAAAAUUAGGGAAAGGAUUCAAGGACCUGAACUGACUAAUGCUGAAAGACUGGAGUUGGUUCACAGAUUUGGGAAACAUAAAACCAAAAGAAGGAUUUUAUUUCGAGGAAUCCUGUUGAUGAGGCUGUAGCUCAAAGAUUGACUUCUACCCAGCAUUGGAGAGCAGGAUUAGUUGACAAAAGCAUACAGCUUCUACCAGAAGUUGAACAACAAAAGGUGAAAAGUGGGCAAAUCACUGAGUUAGUCUCCUCAGAGAACGACAACAUUGCUUCAGAAAAUCACAAUCAUCAUGAAGUACCUAUCCCUUCUUAUACUAACUCUUCUAUUAUUUUACGAAUGAGCAAUGAAACCCCGCCACCAAAAUCAUAUAUAGGUGGAUUAUCAAACUAUGGUAGUCCUUCGGUUUUAUAAGCGAAUGCCUUUAACGAUUCAGAAAGAGGGAUGAGCAUGCUUAAGUCCAUCAGUAAAAACCUCCCAUUUGAAACAGAGGUUCUUCAAGGAUGCGGAAGAACAAGUAUUUCCAGAAUGACCAGAAUGGGUCAACCAAUCAGCUUCCAAGUUCUAGUCCAUAUUUUAGAAAUUUUGGUUCUAAUAUUGAAGAUUCACCUAGUAGCAUCGGGGGCUUAUUUAAGUCUUCUCAUUUUGAUGGGAUUUCGAAAGCUUCUGGUACACGAUCGAGUAGACUUGGUAGAGAUGUUAUGGAGGCUUCGAGUGAUUUUAUGGACAUGCCUUGGAGCAACAAAGAUCAGAUACUUCCUAAGCAGACAAAUUUUUGAAUGGUGGACCGAGAUGGAGGUCGAAUGAUGUAGGAGAUUAUGAAGAUCAGCAGAGUCCCAAUAGACUCACAGGAGGUACCACCCCCUCGAGGGUAUUCAGAAGGCGGAAAACCAGAAGAUGACUCCUUUUGAGAUUUUACAACCUUAACAAUCCUGUCCUGAUUGAUUAAACACGCAUGUUGCAGUUGAUGCACAAUUGGAUUACUCUGAUACAAGAGUUGUUAGAUGAAAGAAUGCCAGGUUUCAGUUGUCUUUUAUCCUAUAUGACCUAGUUUUGUAUCUUAUAAUUUCACGAAGAGUCUACAAGUAAAGAUUCUGUUUAUUUGAAACUUAUGAGUCUUAUAUGGACUCUUGUAUUGUUAAAUUCGGUUGCUUUUUGGAAUCUGAAAAUGUUAUGAAAAAUUUUGAUAUAUGAAUAUAUGAUCAA
This is a long non-coding RNA of Erigeron canadensis, 1638 nucleotides long. RefSeq lists it as uncharacterized. The record is from RefSeq and is a predicted model, not a curated record. The transcript is spliced from 3 exons. NCBI's taxonomy places the organism in Eukaryota, Viridiplantae, Streptophyta, Magnoliopsida, Asterales, Asteraceae.